Paraphysoderma sedebokerense is the source of this 92-nucleotide non-coding RNA. The record is from the annotation of a GenBank genome assembly. Lineage: Eukaryota; Fungi; Blastocladiomycota; Physodermatomycetes; Physodermatales; Physodermataceae.
GGGGAUCUAGCUCAAAUGGUAGAGCGCUCGCUUUGCAAAUCAUCUCGGAUUAAGGCUGCGAGAGGCACAGGGAUCGAUGCCCUGGAUCUCCA